This is a long non-coding RNA of Oenanthe melanoleuca, 673 nucleotides long. RefSeq lists it as uncharacterized. NCBI's taxonomy places the organism in Eukaryota, Metazoa, Chordata, Aves, Passeriformes, Muscicapidae. The transcript has 3 exons. The record is from RefSeq and is a predicted model, not a curated record.
AUCUUCUUCUUCAGCCGGAUGGCCUCGUUCCUGCUGCGGGCUUCAGAAUCCAGGGUGGACUGCAGGGAAUCUAUGGCACGCUGCUGGUUCCUCCUGGGAAGGACAUGGAGGAUGAACAGAAUGAUUUUCCUCUCUGUUCAGGGAUGUAGAAGUACUUGCAGAACUUUCUGAAAGUAUCUCCCUUCCAGAAAUAGUGUAUUUCUGACUGACAUAGGUAGCACACAUACUACACACACACAACACACAGUUUCCAGAGCCUCACUGCUGUCCACCUGGCUGGUGUGCUUCACACCCUCAGCUAACUCCUGAUCUGUCAGCAUCUCUAGCAUCCUUCUUCUGUGUUUUCUUUGCAGUACUGGAGCAAGGAGCACUCUCAGAACUCUUGUAAACACAAGCAAGUACAGAUUUGAAUCUGUAAGAAGCACUUCCAGCCUAACAGUCACUUAAUAAAAUAUUUACUGAAUAAUUUCCUACAAUUAUUUACAUCUCAGCCUUUUGCUGAAGGCUUUAGUGGAGAGGAUUAAUCACAUUGAAGGUCAUCUAGAACUUGCUGAUGAGAUUCCUGCAAGGACUUUUUCUCCUUUAAGUCAGCUCAGAAUUCAUCUCUUCCUCAUCCUCAACCCUCUCUGUCAGUUCCUUGACUUUGGCUUCCAGCUGAAUCUUGGAUUUAAUC